AUGGCCGUAAAAAAUCACUUUGCCCUCAUAAGAGUAAACACAGACAGUGGUUAUAUUUGUCCGUCCACUCGGGAUACACAACAACAAGAAUUAAAUAGCAGUCUUGGUCUGGGCGAAUUUGAGACAAGGAAGGAGGGAGCAGUGGCCCUACAGAACACCCAGUGGAGAGAGAGAGAGAGAGAGAGAGAGAGAGAGAGAGAGAGAGAGAGAGAGAGAGAGAGAGAGAGAGCUGAAUGGAAUGUCUCUGAUUCUCAAUGUUCCGUCUCAGAACACAUGAUAACAUGGAACUUCUAUCGUAAGCACAGCUCUGUAACAGGGAAUCACUCACUAACAGGUAAGCAGACAAACAAAUAUUGAUGUAUUGAUUAUCUGGCAGAGUAAUGAUAGUGAUUUUGGGCCGUUUUAAAAGAAGACUGCAAACUUGUUACCCAGUGGUGCGGAACUCUUGGAGUUAGCGUGCCUCGUGUAAGAAUGUUACUGAUAGGGACAGUCCAUGACGUAGCUUAUGGAUUUUACCGUGGACUUACAAAGAGCACGGUUUGCAUAUAGAAGACUUCAUGAAAUACAUGGAAACUGAUCAAGGUUUAUUGAUGAUGUUUCUGAUAUUAUACCGCUGAUCUUUCAAACUGUGGUAAAGACAGACAGCUUUAAAUGCAUUUUCUUCAAUGUAACUUUUGAUCUUAUUAGAAAGUAAUGUUCUUGAACAUCAUGUCGUCAGGAAUGAGUCAGUGUUAGGGAUGACCCCCCCCCCCCCUCGCUGAUACCCUUUUCUCUCUCUACCUUCUCUCAUUACACCCCCCCCCCUCUCUUCCUCCCACUA
This 820-nucleotide long non-coding RNA is filed under the name Oncorhynchus mykiss (rainbow trout). RNAcentral describes it as "lncRNA (ENSOMYG00000064073.1)". The record is from RNAcentral. Lineage: Eukaryota; Metazoa; Chordata; Actinopteri; Salmoniformes; Salmonidae.